Small nucleolar RNA from Tachyglossus aculeatus (Australian echidna), 138 nucleotides. Lineage: Eukaryota; Metazoa; Chordata; Mammalia; Monotremata; Tachyglossidae. The record is from RefSeq and is a predicted model, not a curated record.
AGUUUCUCAGGGUCGCACCUGGAGAGUUUCCAGUACUCUACCAGCCUCGGUUAUGGGAGGGAGAGUCAAGCAGGGGCAUACCCGUUCUGUUCCUAGCUUGGGCAGUGGCUAGCAAGUGGAAGGCAAUCUGCUACAUGU